ACUCUUCAACCCACCGGUGUCUUGUAAACUGGCUGGUGUUUGGUUUCUGAGUGUUGCUCGUCCUCGUGACUGAGCUCAUUCGUAAUAUAUGAGCAUCUCUAAUUCGAAUUCGGAUUGACUCAGUGUAAUAGACUAUUCGCUGAGGACACACCUAGUGUGGCCGAACAAGAUAAUUGUAGAAGCUUCUAACCCUUCUAGUCAUUUUAAGAU
This 210-nucleotide unclassified non-coding RNA is filed under the name Sampaiozyma vanillica. RNAcentral describes it as "ITS 2". Lineage: Eukaryota; Fungi; Basidiomycota; Microbotryomycetes; Chrysozymaceae. The record is from RNAcentral.